This 253-nucleotide ribosomal RNA is filed under the name uncultured bacterium. RNAcentral's name for it is "partial 16S ribosomal RNA". It matches the Rfam family "Bacterial small subunit ribosomal RNA", at positions 524 to 776 of the family's 1533-position model. The record is from RNAcentral.
UACAGAGGGUGCGAGCGUUAAUCGGAAUUACUGGGCGUAAAGCGUGCGUAGGUGGUUUGAUAAGUCGGAUGUGAAAGCUCAGGGCUCAACCCUGAGACGCCAAUCGAUACGGAUCGGCUAGAGGUAGGUAGGGGAAAGUGGAAUUCCUGGUGUAGCGGUGAAAUGCGCAGAUAUCAGGAGGAACACCGGUGGCGAAGGCGGCUUUCUGGGCCUUACCUGACGCUGAGGAGCGAAAGCUGGGGGAGCAAACAGG